Molecule: long non-coding RNA, 490 nt
Filed under: Marmota monax (woodchuck)
Lineage: Eukaryota; Metazoa; Chordata; Mammalia; Rodentia; Sciuridae
Source: RNAcentral
UGGGGCUGGGGUUGUGGCUCAGCGUUAGAGUGCUCAUCCAGCACCAUAUUUCUAUACCAGUCGAGUCAGUGCAACCACUCUGGAAAGAAGUAUGGAGAGUCCUUAAAAAACUAGGAACCAUUUAACACAGUUAUCCCACUCCUUGGUAUAUAUCCAAAAGUUUUUACAUCAGCAUACUACAGUAAUGUAGCCACAUCAAUAUUUAUAGCAGCACGAUUCAUAAUAUCUAGGCUAUGGAACAAAUCUAUGUGCCCUUCAACAGAUGAAUGGAUAGAGAAAUUGUAGUAGAUAUGUACAAUGGAAUAUUACUUAGCCAUAAAGAAGACAUUCACUUGUAAAUGGGUGGAUCUGGAGACUAUCAUGCUAAGUGAAUAAAGUCAAAUCCCUCAAAAGCCAAAGAUUGAUAUUCUCUGAUACAUGGAUGCUAACCUACAACAAGUUGUGAGGGAACAGAAAUUCAGUAGUUUAAACACAGGUGAAUGAAGGGUGG